This 594-nucleotide long non-coding RNA is filed under the name Medicago truncatula (barrel medic). RNAcentral describes it as "long non-coding RNA (MTRU_LNC001253)". Lineage: Eukaryota; Viridiplantae; Streptophyta; Magnoliopsida; Fabales; Fabaceae. The record is from RNAcentral.
GCACUCUCACCAUCGCGAUUUGGUUCUCAGAAUGCUUUUCCUUUGCCACCUGGAACUCCUGAGGCACAAACGCUCACUCGAUGGAUCUGUAACAGCUACAGGUAUGAAUAUGCCAGUUAAAGUCAUUUAAAGUAUGCAUAGCAGCAAUUCAUUAUUUUGUGAAUGACGAUCUUAAUCAUGUUGGGGCGGCACUUUACACGUUUUCACAGAUUCUAUUUAGGCGCAGAAUUACUCAAGUGUGAAGGGAGCGAAUCGAUACUUAAAUCCCUUUGGCAUCACUCAGACGCAGUUCUGUGCUGCUCUUUAAAGGUAAUUUCUUUUAGUAUAUUUUUUCUGAUAAGAAUUUGGUUAGAACUUCAAAUAUACUAGCGAAACUCCUCACGGCUAAAUCAAAUGUUGUACCUUUUUUCUUGAUUGAUGCAAUAUUUUAGAAAUUAUAUAAAUUUAAAUAUGAUUUUGGCAGGCAUUACCCGUUUUUACGUUUGCAAAUCAAGCUGGACUUGACAUGCUUGAAACCACCCUGGUUGCACUUCAAGACAUCACCCUAGAAAAGAUAUUCGAUGACAACGGAAAGAAAACCCUGUGCUCUGAAUU